RNAcentral lists this transfer RNA (67 nucleotides) under Calyptraea chinensis. Its description in RNAcentral is "tRNA-Asn". Lineage: Eukaryota; Metazoa; Mollusca; Gastropoda; Littorinimorpha; Calyptraeidae. The record is from RNAcentral.
UAAAUGAAAGCCAAAAUUGAGGCGCCUAUCUGUUAAUUAGGUUACUGUAAAUUUAUUACUCAUUUAA